Molecule: ribosomal RNA, 253 nt
Filed under: uncultured bacterium
Lineage: Bacteria
Description: partial 16S ribosomal RNA
Rfam family: Bacterial small subunit ribosomal RNA
Source: RNAcentral
UACGGGGGGGGCAAGCGUUGUUCGGAAUUACUGGGCGUAAAGGGCUCGUAGGCGGCCAACUAAGUCGGACGUGAAAUCCCCAGGCUCAACCUGGGAACUGCGUCCGAUACUGGAUGGCUUGAAUUCGGGAGAGGGAUGCAGAAUUCCAGGUGUAGCGGUGAAAUGCGUAGAUAUCUGGAGGAAUACCGGUGGCGAAGGCGGCAUCCUGGACCGACAUUGACGCUCAGGAGCGAAAGCCAGGGGAGCAAACGGG